RNAcentral lists this non-coding RNA (24 nucleotides) under Mus musculus (house mouse). The record is from RNAcentral. Lineage: Eukaryota; Metazoa; Chordata; Mammalia; Rodentia; Muridae.
UGAUCUUACAGCACAAGCCAUUGC